UACAGAGGGCCCGAGCGUUGAUCGGAAUCACUGGGCUUAAAGGGUUCGUAGGCGGAUUGACAAGUGCUUUGUGAAAUCCCACGGCUCAACCGUGGAAUUGCUUGGCAGACUGUCAGUCUUGAGCACGACAGGGGCCAUCAGAACGCUAGGUGGAGCGGUGAAAUGCGUAGAUAUCUAGCGGAAUGCCGAAGGUGAAGACAGAUGGCUGGGUCGUCGCUGACGCUCAGGAACGAAAGCAUGGGUAGCGAACGGG
Molecule: ribosomal RNA, 253 nt
Filed under: uncultured bacterium
Lineage: Bacteria
Description: partial 16S ribosomal RNA
Rfam family: Bacterial small subunit ribosomal RNA
Source: RNAcentral